RNAcentral lists this ribosomal RNA (491 nucleotides) under uncultured bacterium. RNAcentral describes it as "partial 16S ribosomal RNA". It matches the Rfam family "Bacterial small subunit ribosomal RNA", at positions 29 to 507 of the family's 1533-position model. The record is from RNAcentral.
AGUGAACGCUGGCGGCAGGCCUAACACAUGCCAGUCGAACGGCAGCACAGUAAGAGCUUGCUCUUACGGGUGGCGAGUGGCGGACGGGUGAGGAAUACAUCGGAAUCUACUUUUUCGUGGGGGAUAACGUAGGGAAACUUACGCUAUACCGCAUACGACCUACGGGUGAAAGCAGGGGAUCUUCGGACCUUGCGCGAUUGAAUGAGCCGAUGUCGGAUUAGCUAGUUGGCGGGGUAAAGGCCCACCAAGGCGACGAUCCGUAGCUGGUCUGAGAGGAUGAUCAGCCACACUGGAACUGAGACACGGUCCAGACUCCUACGGGAGGCAGCAGUGGGGAAUAUUGGACAAUGGGCGCAAGCCUGAUCCAGCCAUACCGCGUGGGUGAAGAAGGCCUUCGGGUUGUAAAGCCCUUUUGUUGGGAAAGAAAAGCAGCAGGUUAAUACCCCGCUGUUCUGACGGUACCCAAAGAAUAAGCACCGGCUAACUUCGUG